GUCCAAGUGGCCUAGUUGGUUAAGGUAUUAGUUUCCGGAGUUAAUGAUCGCGGGUUCGAGUCCCGUCUUGGACU
The sequence is a transfer RNA, 74 nucleotides long. It matches the Rfam family "tRNA". Rfam says of the family: Transfer RNA (tRNA) molecules are approximately 80 nucleotides in length. The record is from Rfam.